CAGCGCUGUACAAUGGGUGGACUAACAGACAUGUAUUUGUAACCAGACAAGUUGGACGCACAGGAACAGAGGGAUUGAGGGUCCUGCUCAGUGAGUUUACAUGUUAGAGGGAGUGGGGUAUAGUGACACAGUAACAGAGGGAUUGAGGGCCUGCUCAGUGAGUUUACAUGUUAGAGGGAGUGGGGUAUAGUGACACAGUAACAGAGGGAUUGAGGGCCUGCUCAGUGAGUUUACAUGUUAGAGGGAGUGGGGUAUAGUGACACAGUAACAGAGGGAUUGAGGGCCUGCUCAGUGAGUUUACAUGUUAGAGGGAGUGGGGUAUAGUGACACAGUAACAGAGGGAUUGAGGGCCCUGCUCAGUGAGUUUACAUGUUAGAGGGAGUGGGGUAUAGUGACACAGUAACAGAGGGAUUGAGGGCCCUGCUCAGUGAGUUUACAUGUUAGAGGGAGUGGGGUAUAGUGACACAGUAACAGAGGGAUUGAGGGCCUGCUCAGUGAGUUUACAUGUUAGAGGGAGU
RNAcentral lists this long non-coding RNA (518 nucleotides) under Pelobates cultripes (western spadefoot toad). The record is from RNAcentral. Lineage: Eukaryota; Metazoa; Chordata; Amphibia; Anura; Pelobatidae.